Molecule: long non-coding RNA, 4920 nt
Organism: Gadus macrocephalus (Pacific cod)
Lineage: Eukaryota; Metazoa; Chordata; Actinopteri; Gadiformes; Gadidae
Exons: 6
Source: RefSeq, a predicted model, not a curated record
UAACAUGUGAUUGUGUUUAUAUCACUUCUUACUGGACUUGGAUGCCAUAUGAGUUAACAGUUGCAUAUAGAACUUUUGCACCUGUAUCCUUUAUUUUUUGUGUUAUGGUUAAACCUAAAUGGAUAUGUUCGAGAUUAAAGACGGUUAUAUUAUGGACGAUUUAUCUCAGUGCAAUAAAAGUACAUUUAAGUGAACGCGCUUGCUCUGGGGAUGUGGUGAGUGCACGUUUCGCCUGUACCUUGAUGGCUGGCUCUUGUUUUGGUGCUGAAUGUGACAGUCGGAACGUAGUGCACACACUCCCGAAUAAUGUUGAACACAACAAGCUGCGAACGCUUUAAAGAAAGUUUAUAUUUUUCUAAUUCGCCCUUGUGGAAAAAUAGCAUUGAGUCCCGUUCUUCAUUGGCUACAGACUCUUUAGGUCAGUGGACGGUGUCCCGUUGCAGAGUUGCUGGGGCGUUUGUGGGACUCCUUUCCUUACACGUUUAUUAAGGAUCGUCUUGUUUUCGGCGACUGUGCAUACAUCUCAGAGGACUUCCUGCUUCAAUGCAGCGGGCUUGGCCGUCGGCAAUUACUGCUCUGCGCAUUCUUUAGGAGCAAGACAGCCGAAAGCUCUUGGAUGUUUGAUCUACAAAUGGUUCAUCAAUGUUGGAGCAUCAAUUUGGCUUAACAGUUUUCCGUGACAUCCUAUGACGUCGUAAACAAGCAGUUGGCCGGAUAACCGGCAGAGACCGGAUAAGAGGAUGGGACUGCUAUAGCCUGGAUCUCUGUUUUGGAUGGUUCCACCGGAGUGUAAUCAGUUGUUACCCCGCCCUCGAGGCCUUUGGGUGGGGCCUCGAUGCCCACACUCCCCGCAGCUAGUGGACACCAUGAGUAACACUGGGACUGAAGAGCCCUCCCUCCAGCCAGGCGACGGCCAGUCAUGUGCCGAGCCUCCACGCAGGGGUAGGGGUCGCCCUCGCAAACUGCCGCAGGAACCUGCGGGGCCUCCAGUCCCGAAGCGCCCCAGAGGAAGACCCAAAGGCAGCAAGGACAAGGGCCCCCGCACACCACUGAAGAAAGUAGAGCCACAGCGGGAGAAGAGGCCUCGUGGGCGACCGAGGAAAUGGCCUCAACAAGUAGUUCAAGUGGUAGCGGAGGAACAGCAGGGCCCUUCAGACCAGGCAGUGGAGGGCCCCUCUGAGACGCAUCCAUCUCAGGUUCCAGCAGCGGAGGAAGUGGAGUAAAUAGACAGCUCCUCCUCCACCUACCUCAAGGUUUGGCCUCAAACAGAUGGGGGUAAAAUCCGACCUGACAUCUGCUGCGGGGGGGGUUUCAGAGGAAUUACAAAAAAGUGGCGUCUCUAUCUUGGGAUAUUUACGUAGAGUUUCUUUUAGUUUUUUUUUAGUUGAGUCAAUGAUGUGCAUAAAUUCAUUGUUUGUGGUUUUACAAAAUUGGUUUUUACAUAGGAGGUGAUAUGGCUUGUGUGUGUGUGUGUGUGUGUGUGUGUGUGUGUGUGUGUGUGUGUGUGUGUGUGUGUGUGUGUGUGUGUGUGUGUGUGUGUGUGUGUGUGUGUGUGUGUGUGUGUGUGUGUGUGUGUGUGUCUUCUCCGUCGUGCGUGUAUGCAAAGAUCCACAAAGAUUACGGCCCUUUACCGGGGAUGACCUAUGCUUACACGAAGACAUGCAGUUCACCCAGAAUUUAGCAAGGAUUCGCCCUUCUCUGCUGAGGUUUGCGGCAAGGAAACACUGAUAGUUCGACCGGGGAACAUGCGCAAUGUUUUGUUUCCGACAGCCAGACACAAGAUAAUUAAUAAUAGCGCACCGGGCAAGAUGAAAUCACUGUAUUUUCAGUUGUAUUUUCAGUGCAUUUAAGUGAUUUUACCCAUUAUCACAUGGAUAUAUAACUUUUUCAACAUAUUUUCAAUGGAGCCGACUCAGUCGCGCAUUUCCCAUCUGUAUUUACUCGUCGGUUCAUAUACAUUUCUGGUCGUAAAUGCCAUGCUGCCCCCUUGUCCCUACAUGUUAUCGUGACAGGGAAAUGUUAAUGCAGACACCUCUGCAAAGAUCUAUAUCAUGUCUUGGCAAACGUGGGACACGCACGCAAGUGUGAAUUCAGCUUUUAGUGUUUUGAGCGUGCGUAGGGAUGAGGGAUGGACUGAUGGAUGAUGAAAAAGGAAAGAUUGGCCCUUACAUAAUUUAACUAAUCUUUUAAUAUUUUAAGACAACAUAGUAUAUAAAGAGUCCCAGCCCCCCUGUGCCAAAAUUGAGUAUUUUUGACACUGACAUCAUUCUGGUACAAUAUUUACUGUGUGUGCUUAAGAAAUUGUUAUGAAAGUACAUAUGACAAGUUUGAUUCCAAAAAUGUUGGUGUCCAUUCUUGGGAAGAAAAAGACAACUUAUUUGUUCAAUGCUUAUAUCUGCAUUAUCCAAUUUUCACUAGGCGUACUAUCCACAUUGUCUUAAAGGGGUAGUUCGGAAUUUUGGACAUAGGGCCUCAUUCCCAAGUUAGCCUUGGUGUUCUUUAUCAUUGGAGACAGUUUUCAACACAUUUCAUUCAGUCCUUCUAGUUGCAGAGUUUUCUCGUGCUAGGCUAGCGCACGGCAGGUUAGUUUUAUUUCUAACAUUCGGCUAUCAACACAGACAUUUACAUCUAUAGUCUGGCGUUAUAAUUGAUUUACCUCAGGUGUACUGUGGAGUGGGUUAGACUGUUUUAUUAGCAGGCUAGCAUUACCCGUUGCCGUGCGCUAGCCUAGCACCAGCGAACUCUGCAACUAGAAGGACUGAAUGAAAUGUGUUGAAAACUGUCUCCAAUGAUAAAGAACACCAAGGCUAACUUGGGAACCAGGCCCUAUGUCCAAAAUUCUGAACUACCCCUUUAACUCAUUGUAUGUAUUACUUACUUUGCCAUAGAUCAAUCAUUCAGGAAUUUCUGGUUUCCCAAAUGGUCCUUUACUUUUGGAAUGCAACUUUUCAUAUCAAAUAUGUUGACAUGUUAAUUUACUGCACUCAGGAUUAUACUUUUGCGUUGUGUUUUUUUCUCUUUACCAACACAUGUUAACCUCAGGUACAAAACUUUUCAGGAGACUGUCUGAGGGUCUGAUCCAUAUGAUUAUUGCGAUGUGUUUGUUGUGCAUUUCCGAUCUGUAUUUGACGUUCACCAAUUGCUUUGACACAAAGACCUCAUGUAGACCUCUGAUACACUCACACCAACUUACCUCACACUCUACCUCACUUAUAGUACAGAUUAACACACACACACACACACACACACACACACACACACACACACACACAUACAUAUAUAUAUAUAUAUAUAUAUAUAUAUAUAUAUAUAUAUAUACACACACACACACACACACACACACACACACACACACACACACACACACACACACACACACACACACACACACACACUCUAACUCAAGAACGUGUGCAGACACAUCUAACUUCCAAGAUUCACUUUGCAUGGUUUACACAUUUCACAGGAAUCUACCGAUGCAGGGUGUUAGGUUCAAUCCCAUGUCUCAAUCUUUUGUUUGUUUUGGCAAAAUCUGGCAAAUCCAACGCCCUCUUAGGAAAAAAAUCUGAAUCAGGAAGCCGGCUAUAUGGGCCUAUUGGGUGCUACGUGGGCAGCGUAAAUAUUAUUGUAUUACCAAAGAAGUCUCUGAAACGGCUCACUGAUUGGGUGAUGGAGUGUUGUUCGGAGCCUAGUUGCCCCAUCCGACUGGUACUGGUAGACUGGUAGACUAGCACCAUACUUGAGUCCAGUUAAACCUGGUCGCGUCCAGUUAAACCUGGUCGCGACCUGGAUUGUGACGGCAGUGAAAUGACACAAAUGCCUGCAACAGGUUUAACCCUGAUCCCUGGAAAGCGGUUGUUAACCAACUUUUUUUUGUCCUUUCCAGACACCUGUGAAAUAUUAGACUCCCAUUGAAAUCCAACUGUCAAUUUCAGGGUCUGUUUUGUACCAAAUCUGUGUUCGAACCUCAAACGAGACUGGCAUGGUUGUCCUCACCUCCAAUCAGCCAUUCUCACACCACUUGAUGAGAUAUUUGUAGUCUGUUUCAAAUGAGAUUCAUCAUUAUUUGUACUCAUUUUACUUCUUUGAGAUCUUACAACAGCAAUUGUAUACGUCAUUAUGUGUUUUCCUUACACUGUAAUUCAUAACAAUGCAAAAUAACGUUUUUAAAAGAUGGAACCUACUAGGUAAUUCACUUAGGACGGAGUCCAGAAUAAUUUCUACAAUAUUUUGGGAAACCAUUAAAAAAAAAUUCAAUUCAAUUCAAAGCUGAAUAACUACUUUUCAUUUUUCAUCAUGUGGCAAAUCUUUUUUGCAUAGGCCUAUGUGUGAACUAUCCAUAAACUACUCCAAAUUUCAGAAUAAUCUACUUUUACUUAACAUUAUCUUCACUUGAGCACUAUUCGGGGAACUGCGACUAAAACAAUAAUAGAUUUACUGUAGGCUACUUUUUGAUGGUCCCUUUGGACUGAUUUAUUUAGCUUUUUCCACUAGACUUCCAAAGCAAGUUAACAGCAUCUCAGAAGAGUGUUUAGUUAUCAUGACGAUACCUCACCUUUAACCAUACGCACAAUUAAUCUUGAUGUGAUCAAUCUUGUUAUUGAGGGACAGCUCAAAGUAAUAGCUCAAAGUAAUACAAAUACUUCACAAUGCUAGUAUCUCUGGGUGUUGUUGGAAAUGUCACAACGCUAGAUGUGUAAUCUUUUCAAUGAUUAAAAAGUAGAAUUUUAUCAAAAUGUUUUCACAUAGGAAUUUAUCCCUUCAUUUCGUGCUUGACUCUUUUUAUAAUUAUGCACAUUUUACAUGUGUCAUCAUCCACUGAUACAGGUCGAUUUACAGAAGCAACCUGUUUUAUGAGCCUAUACUGCAUUUUUUUGUCUUAAUCUGCAGCCAUAUUGACAAUAAAAUGUUACCAAAUUA